RNAcentral lists this ribosomal RNA (300 nucleotides) under uncultured bacterium. Its description in RNAcentral is "bacterial SSU rRNA". It matches the Rfam family "Bacterial small subunit ribosomal RNA", at positions 338 to 634 of the family's 1533-position model. The record is from RNAcentral.
CCUACGGGGGGCUGCAGCAACGAAUAUUCCGCAAUGGGCGCAAGCCUGACGGAGCGACGCCGCGUGGAGGAUGAAGUCCUUCGGGAUGUAAACUCCAAUAGUUUGCCAGGAAGCAACCUGGCCUAAUACGUCGGGAAGUUGACCAGCAGACGAAAGGGGCGGCUAACUCCGUGCCAGCAGCCGCGGUAAGACGGAGGCCCCGAGCGUUGUUCGGAAUCAUUGGGCUUAAAGCGCGUGUAGGCGGGCCGGUAAGUGCUUUGUGAAAUCCCCGGGCUCAACCCGGGAAUUGCUUGGCAUACU